ACAUAAAGGAUGAUAUUGGUCAAAAAUUCCAUUUCCCUAUAAAGUGACAGAACCAGAAAACAAUUUGAAAACAUUGUGCAGAUACAAUGGAUCAUUAAUUUGACUGGCACUUUGCUGACUAAUCUCUUAAACAGAUUCAAACUACUAGAACAGUCUUAGAUAUCCACAAGGGUGUAAGCAAUGCAUAACUUGCAAGACAUGGUGAUUUUCGGCAUUGUAAUUAGCAAUACAUAAAAAUCCUUGGGGAUUCAUAGAUGACCCUGAACAGAGCUACAACCAGCUUAAAGGGAUCUCAACAUCACAUUCAUCCCAACAUACAGACUCUUGAUGAUCCUGAGAAUUGUG
RNAcentral lists this unclassified non-coding RNA (345 nucleotides) under Hevea brasiliensis (rubber tree). Lineage: Eukaryota; Viridiplantae; Streptophyta; Magnoliopsida; Malpighiales; Euphorbiaceae. The record is from RNAcentral.